UUUUUUCCAUUUUAAUUUUCUCCCACUUCCUGUUGUUUCUACUACUGACUCAGGAGCAAGGGAGGUGGUGCUGUGGCAUAUUUAAUAUUGAUAGAUCGUGACAGCUUGCAGCCUUUUAACCACUACUUGGCUUAGGCCUCCUCUAAGUGUGAGUUUUACAGUAACACAAAAACCUAUGGUAUCAUUGAAAUAGCUUUGCCUGAGGGGAAUACACAUGGAGCUGGGAUCUGGGGGAUUCCUUUGGUAAGGGUAGAAAGGUAUUGUAUUAAGGGGUGGUUUAAGAGUCAUAGCAUGAGGGGUUCAUGACACCUGGUUUUAUUUCCUACCAUUGUGUGACACUGGACAAUGCAUCCCUUUUCCCUUCUAUGGCAGGCAGAUGUCAGUAACUAUAAAAUCCAUCAGUUUGUGAAGGUCACAGCUGUUGGGGAUGACAGAAAAUCGUCUAGACAUGCUGAGCAACCUGGUUAAUGCAUAUAAGGAGUAGAAGAAUCCAAGCUACAGGAGGGUUUGGUGUGGAGAUUACUGAUGAAGAGUUUGAGCUGCUACUUGACAGAAUCCCCCUUGAUGAAGAUGGAAAUGUCAGAUACCCCCAGUUCAUGCUCAGGUUUGGUUCCUGGUAUGCAGCAUAUGCAUUUUAUUUCUCAUUUGUGAAUAGAAUUAUUUUUAAUCUAAAAGGUUUGCAUAAUAUUUCCAGACUAAAUCUCAUUUCUUAACUGUGCUCCUUUAUGACAUAUUUCUUACACAGAGUGUGCUGAUUACAUUUAAAAUUAGCUGAUGUUGUGGGUGCAUGCUGUUUGUAAUUUGUUGCUCUUUACAUGUUAUUUAUAUAUUUUAGAAGAAAGACUUCAAAGUUUUAUAUAACAAAAUCUUUGUGUUUUCUGAUGGUUGGGAAAUACGUCAGACUUCUAAAUAAAAUUAUUAAUAAUAGAAUUAUUUCCAGAAAACAGUAAUAAAUGUACUUAAUAUAUAUUUGAGAACUUGAAGGCCCUAUAUUUACAGGCCCUAUAUAUAGUCUAAAGUACAUCUGAGAUGCUGAUAUUGGUUAAUAGAAACUCUACGCACCCUCCAAGGCCUAGCUGUGAAUUAGUUUAAUUAAAAUAAAAAACAUUGGACCAGAUAAAGAUAUUCUAUUAUUUCCCAAAAAUUAAAACUCUAUCCCCAAAACUGUCAUGCCAGUAGCAGGACAGAAGCCAGUGUAAUUUCUGAGGUCAAUGAAAGACUUGUGGAAUCUGGGACUGGAGAAAGCCAUUCCACCCAUGAAAACCAAAGAAGUAAAUUCCAGCAAUGUCCCACACAGUUGUAUGUGCACAUAAGAGUUAAACUGCUCAGUUAUUUAUUUUAUUUAUCAGGUAAGGGUAAGGUCUGCAUACACACAAGGGUAGGUAGAAGUCUGAGUUCUCUGUAUAGAAACCACAUGAGAUACCUUCCUGAACUUCAAGUAGCAAACCAACUAAUAUUGCAGACCUGAUGAAAUUGCAUCUUCCUUCCCACUCCAUUCAAUCAUCUUUCACUCUUUCUUUUCCUCUGUCCUUGCCUUCCUGCUUCAGGAAGCUUUGGGGCUGAAUUCAUCUGUCUACACAUUUCCACACAAGGCAGUUGGAUAUGACACAGGAUUAACGAGAUAUAUGUGACCUUCUAAACGAUAUCUCCAAGGUAAUCUCCAAACAUGAAAUUGCAUCUUCCUUCCCACUCCAUUCAAUCAUCUUUCACUCUUUCUUUUCCUCUGUCCUUGCCUUCCUGCUUCAGGAAGCUUUGGGGCUGAAUUCAUCUGUCUACACAUUUCCACACAAGGCAGUUGGAU
This is a long non-coding RNA of Ficedula albicollis (Collared flycatcher), 1801 nucleotides long. Lineage: Eukaryota; Metazoa; Chordata; Aves; Passeriformes; Muscicapidae. The record is from Ensembl.